GAUGAACGCUAGCUACAGGCUUAACACAUGCAAGUCGAGGGGUAGCAUGUUGGUUGCUUGCAACCGAUGAUGACGACCGGCGCACGGGUGAGUAACGCGUAUCCAACUUGGCUUAUACUUAGGGAUAACCCGUUGAAAGACGGCCUAAUACCUAAUGGUUUAUAAUAGUUGCAUGACUUUUAUAAUAAAGAUUUAUCGGUAUAAGAUAGGGAUGCGUCUGAUUAGUUAGUUGGUGAGGUAACGGCUCACCAAGGCAUCGAUCAGUAGGGGUUCUGAGAGGAAGGUCCCCCACAUUGGAACUGAGACACGGUCCAAACUCCUACGGGAGGCAGCAGUGAGGAAUAUUGGUCAAUGGACGUAAGUCUGAACCAGCCAAGUAGCGUGCAGGAUGACGGCCCUAUGGGUUGUAAACUGCUUUUAUGUGAGAAUAAAGUUAACUACGUGUAGUUAUUUGCAUGUAUCACAUGAAUAAGGACCGGCUAAUUCCGUGCCAGCAGCCGCGGUAAUACGGAAGGUCCAGGCGUUAUCCGGAUUUAUUGGGUUUAAAGGGAGCGUAGGCCGUUUGGUAAGCGUGCUGUGAAAUUUAGAGGCUCAACCUCUACCGUGCAGCGCGAACUGUCAGACUUGAGUGCGUAGUAGGUAGGCGGAAUUCGUGGUGUAGCGGUGAAACGCUUAGAUAUCACGAAGAACUCCGAUUGCGAAGGCAGCUUACCGUAUCGCAACUGACGCUGAUGCUCGAAGGUGCGGGUAUCGAACAGGAUUAGAUACCCUGGUAGUCCGCACAGUAAACGAUGGAUGCUCGCUGUUGGCUUUUAUAGUCAGUGGCUUAGCGAAAGCGUUAAGCAUCCCACCUGGGGAGUACGCCGGCAACGGUGAAACUCAAAGGAAUUGACGGGGGCCCGCACAAGCGGAGGAACAUGUGGUUUAAUUCGAUGAUACGCGAGGAACCUUACCCGGGCUUGAACUGCAGGAGAACGAUUCAGAGAUGAUGAGGUCCUUCGGGACUCCUGUGGAGGUGCUGCAUGGUUGUCGUCAGCUCGUGCCGUGAGGUGUCGGCUUAAGUGCCAUAACGAGCGCAACCCCUUUUCUUAGUUGCCAUCGGGUGAUGCCGGGCACUCUGAGGAUACUGCCACCGUAAGGUGUGAGGAAGGUGGGGAUGACGUCAAAUCAGCACGGCCCUUACGUCCGGGGCUACACACGUGUUACAAUGGGGCAUACAGAGUGUUGGUUGCAUGUAAAUGUAAUCUAAUCUUUAAAGUGCUUCUCAGUUCGGACUGGGGUCUGCAACCCGACCCCACGAAGCUGGAUUCGCUAGUAAUCGCGCAUCAGCCAUGGCGCGGUGAAUACGUUCCCGGGCCU
RNAcentral lists this ribosomal RNA (1359 nucleotides) under uncultured bacterium. Its description in RNAcentral is "bacterial SSU rRNA". It matches the Rfam family "Bacterial small subunit ribosomal RNA", at positions 28 to 1381 of the family's 1533-position model. The record is from RNAcentral.